RNAcentral lists this antisense RNA (75 nucleotides) under Streptomyces noursei. RNAcentral describes it as "ASpks TB sRNA". It matches the Rfam family "ASpks TB sRNA". The record is from RNAcentral. RNAcentral also lists the same sequence under 1 other name. Lineage: Bacteria; Bacillati; Actinomycetota; Actinomycetes; Kitasatosporales; Streptomycetaceae.
CUUCACCGAACCCAACAGCAACGGCUGCCCGGCAUCACGGUCACGGCCGUAGGUGGCGAGGAGCGCCUGGGCCUC